UACGAAGGGUGCAAGCGUUACUCGGAAUUACUGGGCGUAAAGCGUGCGUAGGUGGUGAGUUAAGUCUGUCGUGAAAGCCCCGGGCUCAACCUGGAAAUGGCAUUGGAUACUAUUUAGCUUGAGGAGUGGAGGGGGGACUGGAAUUCUCGGUGUAGCAGUGAAAUGCGUAGAUAUCGAGAGGAACACCAGUGGCGAAGGCGAGUCCCUGGACACUUCCUGACACUGAGGCACGAAAGCUAGGGGAGCAAACAGG
Molecule: ribosomal RNA, 253 nt
Filed under: uncultured bacterium
Lineage: Bacteria
Description: partial 16S ribosomal RNA
Rfam family: Bacterial small subunit ribosomal RNA
Source: RNAcentral